Molecule: ribosomal RNA, 253 nt
Filed under: uncultured bacterium
Lineage: Bacteria
Description: partial 16S ribosomal RNA
Rfam family: Bacterial small subunit ribosomal RNA
Source: RNAcentral
UACGUAGGGUGCGAGCGUUAAUCGGAAUUACUGGGCGUAAAGUGUGCGCAGGCGGCCGGGCAAGUCGAGUGUGAAAGCCCCGGGCUUAACUUGGGAAUUGCGCUCGAAACUACUUUGCUGGAGUGUGGCAGAGGAAGGUGGAAUUCCACGUGUAGCGGUGAAAUGCGUAGAGAUGUGGAGGAACACCAAUGGCGAAGGCAGCCUUCUGGGCCAACACUGACGCUCAUGCACGAAAGCGUGGGGAGCAAGCAGG